Molecule: unclassified non-coding RNA, 632 nt
Filed under: Hevea brasiliensis (rubber tree)
Lineage: Eukaryota; Viridiplantae; Streptophyta; Magnoliopsida; Malpighiales; Euphorbiaceae
Source: RNAcentral
UCCAACAAGACCCCUGAAGUUUAUUCCUGUUUUUCAGAAGUAAGGACUACUUAGUUCAAUUGUAGAAAAUCAAGGAUACAAAUGUGAAUUAAACCUAAUGUANUAAGUGGGUUUUGUAAUUUAUCCACAUAAAAUCUAUAAACUAUAAGUAGCACUCUUGACAGUAUACCUGCCAGUUCACAGUCGUAGGCCCUCCAACUUUGUGAUGGUCUGUGAUCUUGCUUCUAAACCACCUGUCAAGUUCUCCAACUUGAUGUCACCGUCAUGAACUGCCCGGACAAGAUGCAAAAUACGAUAUUGGAGCUUUGCAUUUUCCAUAGCAAGGUUCUUAGCCUUCUCUUGUUCUGAAGCUAGCUCUGCAUUUGCACCUUCUAGCUUAGACUGAAGUUCACUUAUUGUUUUCAAAAGUUCCUCAUUUUCAGCAUCCUUCUUACUUGCAAGAGCAACUUCAAGUCUUGACAAUCGAUCCUCAGCUUCAGUAGCUCUUCUGUAGAAGGGUUUUAGGAUCUCUGCAAGAUCGCCUCUAUUUCCAACCUUGUGAGUCUCUGAUGCCGCCAUUUUUAUUAGGAAGCGAACCACAGCAAACCACCCUCAAACACUGACACGGGAGGCUUCUUCUAACUAUGAAUUUG